RNAcentral lists this ribosomal RNA (776 nucleotides) under uncultured Neocallimastigales. RNAcentral describes it as "partial large subunit ribosomal RNA". It matches the Rfam family "Eukaryotic large subunit ribosomal RNA", at positions 24 to 634 of the family's 3401-position model. Lineage: Eukaryota; Fungi; Neocallimastigomycota; Neocallimastigomycetes; Neocallimastigales. The record is from RNAcentral.
AUAUCUCUGUAGAGUCUGCAUAUCAAUAAGCGGAGGAAAAGAAACUAACAAGGAUUCCCUUAGUAACGGCGAGUGAAGCGGGAAGAGCUCAAAUUUGAAAUCUUCAAGGUUUUACCUUGACGAAUUGUAGUUUAAAGAAGUGUUUUCUGUUGAGGUUUCGGUAAAAGUUCUUUGGAAUAGGACAUCAUAGAGGGUGAGAAUCCCGUAUUUGACCUUUACUUUUCAACUGUGUGAUACACUUUCAAAGAGUCGGAUUGUUUGGGAAUGCAGUCCAAAAUGGGUGGUAAAUUUCAUCUAAAGCUAAAUAUUGGCGAGAGACCGAUAGCGAACAAGUACCGUGAGGGAAAGAUGAAAAGAACUUUGAAAAGAGAGUUAAACAGUACGUGAAAUUGUCAAAAGGGAAGCGUUUGACACCAGUGUUGUUUUCUCGAAAAUCAAUUAAAAAUGGCUUGAUUUUGUGUUGUAUUGACCUUAAAAGCUUUCUUCACUUUUUUCAUGUCUUUUUUAAUGCACUUUUCGUUUAACAAGUCAACAUCAGUUUCUUUUGUUGUAAAAAGGUCAUUGGAAGGUGGCUUUCUUUUCGGAGAAAGUGUUUAUAGCCUUUGACUUCUGCAAUCGGAGAGACUGAGGUCUGCAGCGUAGAUCCUUCUGGAUUAGAUUCAUUUGUGCUAAGUUACAACCGUUUAUAGACAACUUGUUGACUAUAUUCGAUCCUGUAGCUUACUCGCUUAUGUAAUUUUACCUACGCUUAGGAUGUUGAUAUGCAUGACUGAUAU